RNAcentral lists this ribosomal RNA (759 nucleotides) under uncultured Glomus. RNAcentral describes it as "eukaryotic LSU rRNA". It matches the Rfam family "Eukaryotic large subunit ribosomal RNA", at positions 38 to 648 of the family's 3401-position model. RNAcentral also lists the same sequence under 1 other name. Lineage: Eukaryota; Fungi; Glomeromycota; Glomeromycetes; Glomerales; Glomeraceae. The record is from RNAcentral.
GCAUAUCAAUAAGCGGAGGAAAAGAAAAUAACAAUGAUUCCCUUAGUAACGGCGAGUGAAGGGGGAAAAGCUCAAAUUUUAAAUCUGCUAGGUUUUACUUAUCAGAAUUGUAAUUUGAAGAAGCGUUUUCCGCGUCUCGGUUGGCCCAAAUCCUUUGGGAUGAGGUAUCAUGGAGGGUGAGAAUCCCGUUCGGUUGACCUCAUGACGCUCUACGAUACGCUUUCUAAGAGUCGAGUUGUUUGGGAUUGCAGCUCAAAAUGGGAGGUAAAUUUCUCCUAAGGCUAAAUAUCGGCGAGAGACCGAUAGCGAACAAGUACCGUGAGGGAAAGAUGAAAAGAACUUUGAAAAGAGAGUAAAAUAGUACGUGAAAUUGUUGAAAGGGAAACGAUUGAAGUCAGUCGUACCGACGAGAAAUCAACUUAUCGUGUGCGAACUUGUGGGCGUGCGUGAGUUUCGGCCUCGCUGUUUGCAUGUUUGUGCGCUUUCGGUGUACUUUUUCGUAUGGUAGGCCAACGUCAGUUUCGAUCAUCAUAAAAUGACCGGCGGAAUGUAGCUUCGACCUCGGUUGAAGUGUUAUAGCCUCUGGUAGAUGUGGUAAUUGGGACUGAGGAUUGCAACGAAUACCCUUUGGGCUAUCCGUCUGAUCUCUGAAAGUUGCUCAGGUGCCGAAAGCUUGCUUACGGUCAUCUAAGUUGACGGUCAAUAGGUUAGAACGUGAUUACAUUCGUUAAGGACGUUGACGUAAUGGCUUUAAACGAC